CCCUUAGAUGUCCUGGGCCGCACGCGCGCUACACUGACAUGUUCAACAAGCCUCCUAGUUCGACAGGAUUUGGGAAAUCUUUGAACGCAUGUCGUGAUAGGGAUAGAUCAUUGCAAUUAUUGAUCUUGAACGAGGAAUUCCUAGUAAACGCGAGUCAUCAGCUCGCAUUGAUUACGUCCCUGCCCUUUGUACACACCGCCCGUCGCACCUACCGAUUGAAUGUUUCGGUGAAGAUUCCGGAUAGGACUUUUUUGAUUUAUUUUAAUUUUGUCUUAAAAGCUAUCUAAACCUCAACAUUUAGAGGAAGGUGAAGUCGUAACA
RNAcentral lists this ribosomal RNA (321 nucleotides) under uncultured eukaryote. RNAcentral describes it as "partial 18S ribosomal RNA". It matches the Rfam family "Eukaryotic small subunit ribosomal RNA", at positions 1470 to 1796 of the family's 1831-position model. The record is from RNAcentral.